GGUGGACAUUGUUGGAACUGCACCAGGAUUCUCAGCAGUUUUCUAUGCCAUGUUUUAUUCAGGCUACAUUGAAAUCCAAGUUUAUUUGUGCCACACACAGAUUAGCAGAUGUUAAAACAGAUGUUAAAGCAGGUGCAGUGAAAUGCUUUGUGACCGUGUAAUACCAUCUUACAGAGAUUUCUGCACAGGAAGCUUGAUCCUCAGUCCCUCUUUCCCUGAGACGCCCUCUAAAGGGGAGUCUUGUGGGGUUUGGAUGAAAUAGACUGGCACUCGGGUGGAAUCAUGAGUCGCAUAGCAACAGUUACCAGGGUCAGGAUUUUUAUUAAAACAUCCAACCAGCGUGGGAGGGAGGGAGGUUGACAUGAAGCAGGCUGCCUGUCACCUACAGACCACACAGCCAUCAGCAGCCAGGGCCGUUGUCAUAGAGACCUGGUGCCAUAGCCAAUCAUGCCUCCCACACCACAGUAGGGGUCCAGAUACAGUGGUGUGCAUCACACGAGCCAGGUCCAAUGAUUCAAGUCUGGUCAGUGACGUCUCCGUUAUUAUUGGACGUUGUAGCUAGCUCACAAUGCCCUCUGACGAUGAGUUCAAUUAACGUGAAGCUCCAUGUGUCCAGGCCGGCCAGGUUUCCAUGAGAACCAGCGUAAGAUUGCGUCGGCGAGGGCUGAGGCGCCAGCAGCAGGAGAGUUGGACGGGAGUUCAGCUGCAUUUGCCUUGGCGUGGGCGGACGGGUGCACGUGGCCUUUUGCGGCUCAGCUCUGCCAGGUCUCUCCCGUCUCUGACGGGCAGCCGGCGUGUGGGAAAACACCACGUACACUACGACAGGCUGGCUCUCAGAGUUAAUUACACAUAACAGGUGGGAGAGAGGGAGAGGGAGGACAAAGCGGAACCACCUCCAUCGCAGAAGUCAGGCAGACCUGAGUUUAGAGCUGUUCAGGGGUAUACUUAUUCAUUUCCUGUACCGCCAUAUGCAUAUCCCUUGACAUUUAUCCAUAUGAUUGGAUGCAAAAAUGUACUUCAGCUCACACGCUGGCAGACGUUUGAUUGCAAGCAGGCAGACUUCUUAAAGUAAGCGUGUGGGCUGAAGUGUCCAAAAUUUGCAAGUACAGACACCGGGCAGCACGACAGGCAGAGUGUUCCUGUGGCCUUGGCGGAGGCAGGCCAGGCCUUGGCGGAGGCAGGCCAGGCCUUGGCGGAGGCAGGCCAGGCCUUGGCGACGGCAGGCCAGGCCUUGGCGACGGCAGGCCAGGCCUUGGCGACGGCAGGCCAGGCCUUGGCGACGGCAGGCCAGGCCUUGGCGACGGCAGGCCAGGCCUUAGCGACGGCAGGCCAGGCCUUAGAGACGGCAGGCCAGGCCUUAGAGACGGCAGGCCAGGCCUUAGAGACAGACUAAUGUCUCUCCCAAGGUCAAGGAGGAAAGCCAUGGCUGAGCUGCGGCAGAGUGCAGCCCUGUCCUGGAGAUGGCAGACCAUUUCCAACCGGUCUCCACAGAACAUAACAUGGAGCCCACUGGGUCUCCUGUAAUGAGGUGGCCCAAAGAGAAACAUGACAGGAAAGGGAGGGAGAGCGGGAUAGAGAGAGAGAGAAAAGGGCCCCGUUUCGUUCAGACUUCAUAAGUGCCCUAGUUUUACAAAAGCACAGUAGCAAAGCACAGAUAGAUAAGGUAGAUAAGAGCAUACUGUGGAACUAGUCAAUGUCACUACUGCUACAUUAACAACACAAAGCUGAGGCUAUGGAACCCUGACCUGUUCACCGAACAUGCUACCUUGUCCCGGACCUGCUGUUUUCCACUCCCUCUCCAACUCUGAAUGUUCGGCUAUGAAAAGCCAACUGACAUUUACUCCGGAGAACUAGGAGAGAUAAAAGGGAGGAAGAGAUGGAGGGAUGGGCGAUUGAGAUUGCCUCGAUGCAAUGGGUUGUUGCAACUCCGACAAAAUGAUGCCAUCUAUCUAGGGCUAGCACUUUUAGCUGGGUAUCCAGGCCUCUGUAGCCUGAGGCGAAACACACACAGGAGGACCCAGGAGCCAUCUUGUUGCUAUCCAUAGCGUAGGACUGAUGGACGAGGCAAUCAGCAUUGACAUUCUCCUCAGGCCUGGCUAGAGCUGGCCUGCUUUGUUAGAUCAAACCAACAGGAAAAGCAUUAGUAUUUAGCCUAACAAGGUUCCAGUUCUCUCCAAAAACACAAUUUACUGGCAAAAAUACAUCCAUAAAAGAGCAUUUGAACACAGAGCUCCAUUGCAUACAGAAUAAAAGAGAUUAAAAUGGAGUGAGCAUUUAGCUUCCAUGAGGCAUAGACUGCUCAUUAACUCUCCAGAGAGUAGGCUAAGUUAUGGGUGAACUCCAAAGACCGAGAACCAGUGUUCAUCACACCAAGUCAAUGCUACAUUACGCUAGCCGUCGACUAGUAAGCCAAAUAAUAUUGUCUGGAUUUAACUAACUUUCAACUCCAAAGUAUAACUGUCUGAAAUGUUUUUUCAUGCUCUUAUUUUCAGACUUAGCUUAAAGCUACAAACAAGGUUGAUGGACAGCAGUUGAACAGCCCCCUCCAUUUAAAACACUUCAGAGUGAUUUCUCAUUAUUGAGACACACGAAUCGAAAUGUUCUUAAGUUUGAAGGUUGAGGUAGAAACUUCUAAUGACUUAGACCCAUUGAGUU
Molecule: long non-coding RNA, 2655 nt
Filed under: Salmo salar (Atlantic salmon)
Lineage: Eukaryota; Metazoa; Chordata; Actinopteri; Salmoniformes; Salmonidae
Description: lncRNA (ENSSSAG00000115497.1)
Source: RNAcentral